AUUUAUAUAGUAUAAAAUUAUAUUUGACUUCCAAUCAAAAGAUCUAGCUUCUAGUAUAAAUA
Molecule: transfer RNA, 62 nt
Filed under: Urodontus glabratus
Lineage: Eukaryota; Metazoa; Arthropoda; Insecta; Coleoptera; Anthribidae
Description: tRNA-Gly
Rfam family: tRNA
About the family: Transfer RNA (tRNA) molecules are approximately 80 nucleotides in length. Their secondary structure includes four short double-helical elements and three loops (D, anti-codon, and T loops).
Source: RNAcentral